Molecule: ribosomal RNA, 449 nt
Filed under: uncultured bacterium
Lineage: Bacteria
Description: bacterial SSU rRNA
Rfam family: Bacterial small subunit ribosomal RNA
Source: RNAcentral
ACUCCUACGGGAGGCAGCAGUGGGGAAUAUUGCACAAUGGGCGCAAGCCUGAUGCAGCAACGCCGUGUGAGUGAAGAAGGUUUUCGGAUCGUAAAACUCUGUCCUAAGGGAAGAAACAAAUGACGGUACCUUAGGAGGAAGCCCCGGCUAACUACGUGCCAGCAGCCGCGGUAAUACGGAGGGUGCGAGCGUUAAUCGGAAUUACUGGGCGUAAAGCGCAUGCAGGCGGCCUGUUAAGUCAGAUGUGAAAGCCCGGGGCUUAACCUCGGAAUUGCAUUUGAAACUGGCAGGCUAGAGUCUUGUAGAGGGGGGUAGAAUUUCAGGUGUAGCGGUGAAAUGCGUAGAGAUCUGAAGGAAUACCAGUGGCGAAGGCGGCCCCUGGACAAAGACUGACGCUCAGAUGCGAAAGCGUGGGGAGCAAACAGGAUUAGAUACCCUGGUAACACAAG